CAUGGUGCCUGCAGACGGCUCGGUAGGUCCAAGAAAGUAAUCAUGUAUAAAAGUCGGGUAACUAUGCUAAUUGUGUGGCCAAUACGUGUUCCUUUCAAUAUACAUGAUGUUAUCCCUUGUAACUACAGUUUGACAAUUUGAAUUUUUCGUGGGAAGUGAGGAUAUGUUCCUUAUAAGGGCUGAACUCUGCUCUAUCAGCUGUGGACGGUAGUGUGUUGGACUACGGUGGCUUUGACGGAUAACGGGGAAUUAGGGUUUGAUUCCGGAGAGAAAGCAUGAGAAACGGCUUUCACAACUAAGGUUGGCAGCAGGAGCGAAAACUUUUCUAAUGGGCAUUGCCUGAAAAGGUGACUAUCUGUAUCAUCAACUGCAAAUAUGUAGUUUGAAGGAAUGUAUUAGGCGCAAAUCGACUAUUGAGUAUCAAGUUUAGGGCAAGUCUGGUGCCAGCAGCCGCGGUAAUACCAGCUAAGCUAGAAAUGGGUAAUAUUGUUGCAGUAAAAACGUUCGUAGUUAUCCUUUCGAAUAAUAGUUUUGUUAUAAAGCAAACUAUUUGAGUGAAGUGCAUUCCCAUAAAUGUGUAUCCUCUGCAAAUAAAUUAAAGUGUUAGAGUAAUCGAUCGGGAUAUUGAAGUGCGGUAAAUUGUGGAUUCCAUCUCCUAGCACUGUAUAUGAGUUGUGGAUAAAUUUCAAGAGUUUAUGGGGGUGCUGGUACUUGGCGGCUAGAGGUGAAAUUCAUAGAUUCGCUAGUGUCCUACUGAUGCGAAAGCGUAUACCUAAUAAGUUUUAGUUGAUCAAGAACUAGAGUGUGGGGAUCGAAGAGGAUUAGAUACCCUCGUAGUCCACACUGUAAACUAUGCCGACUAGAGGCUGAUGUGGAGGAGUGCUUCAUCAGAACCUAAGCAGAUAUGAAAGUUUCUGGGCUCUGGGGGGAGUACGGUCGCAAGGGCGAAACUUAAAGGAAUUGACGGAACGGCACCACCAGGGGUGGAGCGUGCGGCUUAAUUUGACUCAACGCGGGAAACCUUACUAGGAUAAAACAUUGUGAUGAUUGACAAACUGGUAGGAUUUUCUAGAUUUGGUGGGUGGUGGUGCAUGGCCGGUCUUAGUUGGUGGUGUGAUCCGUCUGGUUAAUUUCGAUAACGAACGAGAUCCGAGUUGCUCAGUUGGCUUCCAUUUUACAUCUUUAAAGUGUGUUGUUUUUUGAGCGGACAAUUUGUUUAAACAGAGGGAAGUUUCGGGCUAAAUCAGGUCUGUGAUGCCCUUAGAUGUCCUAGGCGGCACGCGCGCUACAAUAGAUUAUUUCAAAAUGCUAAUGCGCUGAAAUGUGUGUUGAAACAUGAAUGUACAUUUGUGAAUGGAAUAGUUUUUUGAAACUUUCGGACUUGAACUAGGAAUCCCUUGUAGGUAUGUUCAAGAAUAGCAAACUGAAUACGUCCCUGCCGUUUGUACACACCGCCCGUCGUUUCUUCCGACUGAUAUCUAUUUUGAGUUGCGUAGAUUUUAUGAAGAAGCGUUGCUAAUGCUAGAUAUGGAGAAGAAAAA
Molecule: ribosomal RNA, 1541 nt
Filed under: Ganymedes yurii
Lineage: Eukaryota; Apicomplexa; Conoidasida; Eugregarinorida; Ganymedidae
Description: partial 18S ribosomal RNA
Rfam family: Eukaryotic small subunit ribosomal RNA
Source: RNAcentral